Molecule: ribosomal RNA, 274 nt
Filed under: uncultured bacterium
Lineage: Bacteria
Description: partial 16S ribosomal RNA
Rfam family: Bacterial small subunit ribosomal RNA
Source: RNAcentral
AUUGAACGCUGGCGGCGUGCUUAACACAUGCAAGUCGAGCGGUAACAGGCGUAGCAAUACGUGCUGACGAGCGGCGAACGGGUGCGUAAUACAUGGGAAUCUGCCUAGUAGUGGGGAAUAACCCGGCGAAAGCCGGGCUAAUGCCGCAUACGAUCCACGGAUGAAAGCGGGGGACCUUCGGGCCUCGCGCUAUUAGUUGAGCCCACUGUCGGAUUAGCUAGUUGGUGAGGUAACGGCUCACCAAGGCGACGAUCCGUAGCUGGUCUGAGAGGAC